Long non-coding RNA from Eurytemora carolleeae, 146 nucleotides. RefSeq lists it as uncharacterized. The transcript has 2 exons. Lineage: Eukaryota; Metazoa; Arthropoda; Copepoda; Calanoida; Temoridae. The record is from RefSeq and is a predicted model, not a curated record.
GGUCCAAGGGGUUACGUUUAGCUGUAUAUUACAGGUACCACCGGAAAACCGUUUCACCCCCAUUAUGCUUUUCAACAGUAUGAAGCAACAUAAGGUUAAGAUUGGUCUGUGGAUUGAUUUGACGAACACAAAGCGGUUUUAUGACA